AAGAUGGCGACCGGCGCACGGGUGAGUAACACGUAUCCAACCUGCCGAUAACUCCGGAAUAGCCUUUCGAAAGAAAGAUUAAUACCGGAUAGCAUACGAAUAUCGCAUGGUAUUUUUAUUAAAGAAUUUCGGUUAUCGAUGGGGAUGCGUUCCAUUAGUUUGUUGGCGGGGUAACGGCCCACCAAGACUACGAUGGAUAGGGGUUCUGAGAGGAAGGUCCCCCACAUUGGAACUGAGACACGGUCCAA
Molecule: ribosomal RNA, 248 nt
Filed under: uncultured bacterium
Lineage: Bacteria
Description: partial 16S ribosomal RNA
Rfam family: Bacterial small subunit ribosomal RNA
Source: RNAcentral